RNAcentral lists this long non-coding RNA (299 nucleotides) under Phoenix dactylifera (date palm). Its description in RNAcentral is "long non-coding RNA (PDAC_LNC007348)". The record is from RNAcentral. Lineage: Eukaryota; Viridiplantae; Streptophyta; Magnoliopsida; Arecales; Arecaceae.
UAAUUGGUGUAUGUGUAUCAAGCAUGCAUUCACACUUUUGCUGAAUUUAAAAUCAAACAAUCACCACACAAGGAAAUUUAAAUAAGAAAGGUUUAGAUGUUACCAAAGGGAAUUUCCCCAGCAAAAAUUUUUUACUCUUAAAGCAAACCUCUACAGCAUUCUUUUUCCAGUAGUUCCCUUUUGAUCGUCCCAAAUUUUCUCUUUGAUUCCUGAUCAAAUAAAAAUCAAAAAUUAGUAAAGGAGAGAAAGGAGAUAAGAGAAAUAACAAAAAAAAUAGAAAAUAUUUUUAUUUUAUUUUA